GAUGAGCGCUGGCGGCGUGCCUAAUACAUGCAAGUCGAGCGAACGGACGAGAAGCUUGCUUCUCUGAUGUUAGCGGCGGACGGGUGAGUAACACGUGGAUAACCUACCUAUAAGACUGGGAUAACUUCGGGAAACCGGAGCUAAUACCGGAUAAUAUUUUGAACCGCAUGGUUCAAAAGUGAAAGACGGUCUUGCUGUCGCUUAUAGAUGGAUCCGCGCUGCAUUAGCUAGUUGGUAAGGUAACGGCUUACCAAGGCAACGAUGCAUAGCCGACCUGAGAGGGUGAUCGGCCACACUGGAACUGAGACACGGUCCAGACUCCUACGGGAGGCAGCAGUAGGGAAUCUUCCGCAAUGGGCGAAAGCCUGACGGAGCAACGCCGCGUGAGUGAUGAAGGUCUUCGGAUCGUAAAACUCUGUUAUUAGGGAAGAACAUAUGUGUAAGUAACUGUGCACAUCUUGACGGUACCUAAUCAGAAAGCCACGGCUAACUACGUG
RNAcentral lists this ribosomal RNA (497 nucleotides) under uncultured bacterium. RNAcentral describes it as "partial 16S ribosomal RNA". It matches the Rfam family "Bacterial small subunit ribosomal RNA", at positions 28 to 507 of the family's 1533-position model. The record is from RNAcentral.